GACGAACGCUGGCGGCGUGCUUAACACAUGCAGGUCGAACGGAAAGGCCCUUCGGGGUCCUCGAGUGGCGAACGGGUGCGUAACACGUGGGUGAUCUGCCCUGCACUUUGGGAUAAGCCUGGGAAACUGGGUCUAAUACCGAAUAGGACCACGCGCUUCAUGGUGUGUGGUGGAAAGCUUUUGCGGUGUGGGAUGGGCCCGCGGCCUAUCAGCUUGUUGGUGGGGUAAUGGCCUACCAAGGCGACGACGGGUAGCCGGCCUGAGAGGGUGACCGGCCACACUGGGACUGAGAUACGGCCCAGACUCCUACGGGAGGCAGCAGUGGGGAAUAUUGCACAAUGGGCGCAAGCCUGAUGCAGCGACGCCGCGUGAGGGAUGACGGCCUUCGGGUUGUAAACCUCUUUCAAUAGGGACGAAGCGCAAGUGACGGUACCUAUAGAAGAAGCACCGGCCAACUACGUG
RNAcentral lists this ribosomal RNA (462 nucleotides) under uncultured bacterium. Its description in RNAcentral is "partial 16S ribosomal RNA". It matches the Rfam family "Bacterial small subunit ribosomal RNA", at positions 28 to 507 of the family's 1533-position model. The record is from RNAcentral.